GACGAACGCUGGCGGCGUGCCUAAUACAUGCAAGUUGAGCGCUGAAGGUUGGUACUUGUACCGACUGGAUGAGCAGCGAACGGGUGAGUAACGCGUGGGGAAUCUGCCUUUGAGCGGGGGACAACAUUUGGAAACGAAUGCUAAUACCGCAUAAAAACUUUAAACACAAGUUUUAAGUUUGAAAGAUGCAAUUGCAUCACUCAAAGAUGAUCCCGCGUUGUAUUAGCUAGUUGGUGAGGUAAAGGCUCACCAAGGCGAUGAUACAUAGCUGACCUGAGAGGGUGAUCGGCCACAUUGGGACUGAGACACGGCCCAAACUCCUACGGGAGGCAGCAGUAGGGAAUCUUCGGCAAUGGACGAAAGUCUGACCGAGCAACGCCGCGUGAGUGAAGAAGGUUUUCGGAUCGUAAAACUCUGUUGGUAGAGAAGAACGUUGGUGAGAGUGGAAAGCUCAUCAAGUGACGGUAACUACCCAGAAAGGGACGGCUAACUACGUG
Molecule: ribosomal RNA, 497 nt
Filed under: uncultured bacterium
Lineage: Bacteria
Description: partial 16S ribosomal RNA
Rfam family: Bacterial small subunit ribosomal RNA
Source: RNAcentral